Molecule: ribosomal RNA, 292 nt
Filed under: uncultured bacterium
Lineage: Bacteria
Description: partial 16S ribosomal RNA
Rfam family: Bacterial small subunit ribosomal RNA
Source: RNAcentral
GUGUCAGCCGCCGCGGUAAUACGUAGGGUGCAAGCGUUAAUCGGAAUUACUGGGCGUAAAGCGUGCGCAGGCGGUUUUGUAAGUCAGAUGUGAAAUCCCCGGGCUUAACCUGGGAACUGCGUUUGAAACUACAAGGCUAGAGUGUGGCAGAGGGGGGUGGAAUUCCACGUGUAGCAGUGAAAUGCGUAGAGAUGUGGAGGAACACCGAUGGCGAAGGCAGCCCCCUGGGUUAACACUGACGCUCAGGCACGAAAGCGUGGGGAGCAAACAGGAUUAGAUACCCUCGUAGUCC